Molecule: ribosomal RNA, 345 nt
Filed under: Pseudomonas sp.
Lineage: Bacteria; Pseudomonadati; Pseudomonadota; Gammaproteobacteria; Pseudomonadales; Pseudomonadaceae
Description: bacterial SSU rRNA
Rfam family: Bacterial small subunit ribosomal RNA
Source: RNAcentral
GAUCCGUAGCUGGUCUGAGAGGAUGAUCAGUCACACUGGAACUGAGACACGGUCCAGACUCCUACGGGAGGCAGCAGUGGGGAAUAUUGGACAAUGGGCGAAAGCCUGAUCCAGCCAUGCCGCGUGUGUGAAGAAGGUCUUCGGAUUGUAAAGCACUUUAAGUUGGGAGGAAGGGCAGUUACCUAAUACGUAAUUGUUUUGACGUUACCGACAGAAUAAGCACCGGCUAACUCUGUGCCAGCAGCCGCGGUAAUACAGAGGGUGCAAGCGUUAAUCGGAAUUACUGGGCGUAAAGCGCGCGUAGGUGGUUCGUUAAGUUGGAUGUGAAAUCCCCGGGCUCACCCG